This 2367-nucleotide ribosomal RNA is filed under the name metagenome. RNAcentral describes it as "bacterial LSU rRNA". It matches the Rfam family "Bacterial large subunit ribosomal RNA", at positions 1 to 2398 of the family's 2925-position model. The record is from RNAcentral.
AAAAGUAAGUAAGGGCACAUGGCGGAUGCCUUGGCUCUCGGAGGCGAUGAAGGACGUGAUAAGCUGCGAUAAGCUUUGGGGAGGUGCAAAUGACCUUUGAUCCAGAGAUUUCCGAAUGGGACAACCCAAUAUCUUGAAGAGGUAUUAUCCAACGUUGUUGGAGGCUAACGCAGGGAACUGAAACAUCUUAGUACCUGCAGGAAAAGAAAAUAAACAAUGAUUCCCCCAGUAGUGGCGAGCGAACGGGGAACAGCCCAAACCACCCAUGUUACGGCAUGUGUGGGGUUGUAGGACCACGCCGUGGCAAGAAAGUUGGUGAGCAGAAUGUUCUGGAAAGUACAGCCAUAGAGCAUGACAGCUGCGUAUGCGAAGCCAAGCGAAGCCUAGUGGUAUCCUGAGUAGCGCGGAGCACGAGGAAUUCUGCGUGAAUCUGCCGGGACCAUCCGGUAAGGCUAAAUACUCCCGAGAGACCGAUAGUGAACCAGUACUGUGAAGGAAAGGUGAAAAGCACUUCGAACAGAAGAGUGAAAUAGUUCCUGAAACCAUGUGCCUACAAGCGGUCGGAGCACCUUCUGGUGUGACGGCGUGCCUUUUGCAUAAUGAACCUACGAGUUACUUUUUCCGGCGAGGUUAAGGAUUUCAGAUCUGCAGCCGAAGCGAAAGCGAGUCUGAACAGGGCGUAUAGUCGGAAGGAGUAGACGCGAAACCAAGUGAUCUACCCUUGGGCAGGUUGAAGGUUAGGUAACACUAACUGGAGGACCGAACCGAUAAGCGUUGAAAAGCUUCCGGAUGAACUGAGGGUGGGGGUGAAAGGCUAAUCAAACUUGGAGAUAGCUCGUACUCCCCGAAAUGCAUUUAGGUGCAGCCUUGACUUAUACUGGCAUGAGGUAGAGCGACUGAUAAGAUGCGAGGGCUUCACCGCCUAUCAAGUCUUGACAAACUCCGAAUGCGUGUCAGUUCUAUGUCAGGAGUGAGGGCAUGGGUGCUAAGGUCCAUGUCCUAAAGGAGAACAAUCCGGACCAACAGCUAAGGUCCCGAAAUGAAUACUAAGUUGAACUAACGAAGUCAGAUUGCUAAGACAGCUAGGAUGUUGGCUUGGAAGCAGCCAUUCAUUUAAAGAGUGCGUAACAGCUCACUAGUCGAGGAGUUUGGCGUGGAUAAUAAUCGGGCAUCAAGCAAUUUACCGAAGCUAUGGGAUCAGUAAUGAUCGGUAGGGGAGCAUUCCACUCUGCGUCGAAGGUGAAGCGUGAGCUUUGCUGGAGCGUGUGGAAAAGCAAAUGUAGGUAUAAGUAACGAUAAAGGGGGUGGGAAACCCCCUCGCCGAAAGACUAAGGUUUCCUGAUCAACGCUAAUCGGAUCAGGGUUAGUCGGGUCCUAAGGCUCAGCCGAACGGUGAGGCCGAUGGCAGAACAGGUUAAUAUUCCUGUACUACCUUAAGGAGUGACGUGGAGACGGAGGCGUGACAGCGCCGCGGACUGACGGAAUAGUCCGUUGAAGGGUGUAGAUGCUGAUUGUUCCAGGCAAAUCCGGAGCAAGAGUCGAACCUGAUAGUAUGGAGCGUUCUUAGAACAAUCCAAUAGUGCGUGUAAUCAUACUUCCAAGAAAAUCCGCUAAACUUAAUCCUGCAGGUACCCGUACCGCAAACGGACACACGUAGUCGGGUUGAAUAUACUAAGGCGCUUGAGUGAUUCACGGUUAAGGAACUAGGCAAAUUGACCCUGUAACUUCGGGAUAAAGGGUCCCAACGAGAGUUGGGCGCAGAGAAUAGGUCCAGGCAACUGUUUAACAAAAACACAGGGCUGUGCCAAAUUGAAAGAUUACGUAUACAGCCUGACACCUGCCCGGUGCUGGAAGGUUAAGAGGAGAUGUCAUCGCAAGAGAAGCAUUGAAUUGAAGCCCCAGUAAACGGCGGCCGUAACUAUAACGGUCCUAAGGUAGCGAAAUUCCUUGUCGGGUAAGUUCCGACCUGCACGAAUGGUGUAAUGAUCUGGACGCUGUCUCAACCGUGAGCUCAGUGAAAUUGUAGUAUCGGUGAAGAUGCCGAUUACCCGCGAUGGGACGAAAAGACCCCGUGAACCUUUACUAUAGCUUAACAUUGAAUUUGGGUAAUUGAUGUGUAGGAUAGGCCGGAGACUUUGAAGCAGGUACGCCAGUAUUUGUGGAGUCGCUGUUGAAAUACGGCCCUUUGAUUAUUUGAGUUCUAACUCGUAGUUGCGAGGACACUGUUUGGUGGGUAGUUUGACUGGGGUGGUCGCCUCCAAAAGUGUAACGGAGGCUUCUAAAGGUGCCCUCACGCCGAUUGGUAACCGUCGUUAGAGUGUAAUGGCAUAAGGGCGCUUGACUGGGAGACUAACAAGUCGAUCAGGU